This 529-nucleotide ribosomal RNA is filed under the name uncultured Planctomycetota bacterium. Its description in RNAcentral is "bacterial SSU rRNA". It matches the Rfam family "Bacterial small subunit ribosomal RNA", at positions 365 to 909 of the family's 1533-position model. The record is from RNAcentral. Lineage: Bacteria; Pseudomonadati; Planctomycetota.
UCCGCAAUGGACGAAAGUCUGACGAAGCGACGCCGCGUGCGGGAUGAAGGCCUUCGGGUUGUAAACCGCUGUCAGAGGGGAGCAAAUUUUGAGCGAUCCUCAGAGGAAGCACAGGCUAAGUUCGUGCCAGCAGCCGCGGUAAUACGAACUGUGCAAACGUUAUUCGGAAUCACUGGGCUUAAAGGGUGCGUAGACAGAUAUAAAGGUCUGAUGUGAAAGCCCACGGCUCAACCGUGGAAUUGCGUUGGAAACCAUAAGCCUUGAGGGAGUCAGAGGUAAGCGGAACUGAUGGUGGAGCGGAGAGAUGCGUUGAUAUCAUCAGGAACACCGGUGGCGAAAGCGGCUUACUGGGACUCUUCUGACGCUGAGGCACGAAAGCUAGGGGAGCGAACGGGAUUAGAUACCCCGGUAGUCCUAGCUGUAAACGAUCAGUACUAGUCUGUGGGGACUUCCACAUCCUCUCGGACGUAGCGAAAGUGUUAAGUACUGCGCCUGGGGAGUAUGGUAGGAAGGCUGAAACUCAAAGGAA